GAUGAACGCUGGCGGCGUGCCUAAUACAUGCAAGUCGAGCGAACGGACGAGAAGCUUGCUUCUCUGAUGUUAGCGGCGGACGGGUGAGUAACACGUGGAUAACCUACCUAUAAGACUGGGAUAACUUCGGGAAACCGUAGCUAAUACCGGAUAAUAUUUUGAACCGCAUGGUUCAAAAGUGAAAGACGGUCUUGCUGUCACUUAUAGAUGGAUCCGCGCUGCAUUAGCUAGUUGGUAAGGUAACGGCUUACCAAGGCAACGAUGCAUAGCCGACCUGAGAGGGUGAUCGGCCACACUGGAACUGAGACACGGUCCAGACUCCUACGGGAGGCAGCAGUAGGGAAUCUUCCGCAAUGGGCGAAAGCCUGACGGAGCAACGCCGCGUGGGUGAUGAAGGUCUUCGGAUCGUAAAACUCUGUUAUUGGGGAAGAACAUAUGUGUAAGUAACUGUGCACGUCUUGACGGUACCUAAUCAGAAAGCCACGGCUAACUACGUG
This 497-nucleotide ribosomal RNA is filed under the name uncultured bacterium. Its description in RNAcentral is "partial 16S ribosomal RNA". It matches the Rfam family "Bacterial small subunit ribosomal RNA", at positions 28 to 507 of the family's 1533-position model. The record is from RNAcentral.